RNAcentral lists this ribosomal RNA (468 nucleotides) under Salmonella enterica. RNAcentral describes it as "bacterial SSU rRNA". It matches the Rfam family "Bacterial small subunit ribosomal RNA", at positions 1 to 465 of the family's 1533-position model. The record is from RNAcentral. Lineage: Bacteria; Pseudomonadati; Pseudomonadota; Gammaproteobacteria; Enterobacterales; Enterobacteriaceae.
AAAUUGAAGAGUUUGAUCAUGGCUCAGAUUGAACGCUGGCGGCAGGCCUAACACAUGCAAGUCGAACGGUAACAGGAAGCAGCUUGCUGCUUUGCUGACGAGUGGCGGACGGGUGAGUAAUGUCUGGGAAACUGCCUGAUGGAGGGGGAUAACUACUGGAAACGGUGGCUAAUACCGCAUAAUGUCGCAAGACCAAAGAGGGGGACCUUCGGGCCUCUUGCCAUCAGAUGUGCCCAGAUGGGAUUAGCUUGUUGGUGAGGUAACGGCUCACCAAGGCGACGAUCCCUAGCUGGUCUGAGAGGAUGACCAGCCACACUGGAACUGAGACACGGUCCAGACUCCUACGGGAGGCAGCAGUGGGGAAUAUUGCACAAUGGGCGCAAGCCUGAUGCAGCCAUGCCGCGUGUAUGAAGAAGGCCUUCGGGUUGUAAAGUACUUUCAGCGGGGAGGAAGGUGUUGUGGUUAAUA